Molecule: ribosomal RNA, 1021 nt
Filed under: Falcileptoneta sp. 2 HZ-2020
Lineage: Eukaryota; Metazoa; Arthropoda; Arachnida; Araneae; Leptonetidae
Description: SSU rRNA
Rfam family: Eukaryotic small subunit ribosomal RNA
Source: RNAcentral
UAGUGAAACCGCGAAUGGCUCAUUAAAACGGUUACGAUUCACAUGACCGUUCCCAACCACUUGGAUAACUGUGGUAAUUCUAGAGCUAAUACAUGCAGCUGAGCUCCGAACGCAAGUGACGAGCGCUUUUAUUAGACAAGACCAGUCGGACCCGGUCCGCGACGAUGGUGACUCUGGAUAACUUUGUGCUGAUGGCACGGGCUCGUCCCGGCCACGCGUCUUUCAAGUGACUGAUCUAUCAACUGUCGACGGUGGAUUAAAAGCCCACCGUGGUUGUGACGGGUGACGGAGAAUAAGGGUUCGACUCCGGAGAGGGUGCCUGAGAAAUGGCAACCAGUUCUAAGGAAGGCAGCAGGCGCGCAAAUUGCUCUAUCGCGGCCCGCGGAAGCAGUGACGAAAAAUAACGAUACGGGACUCUUUUGAGACCCCGUAAUCGGAAUGAGAGAAAUUUAAACCUUUCAACGAUAAACAAAGACAGAACCAGUCCGGUGCCAGCACUCGCGGCAAUUCCGGCUGUCUUGGUGUAUAUUAAAGUUGUUGCGGUUAAAAAGCUCGUAGUUGGAUCUGUGUUGCGGGGCUUCGACCCGCCUCGCGGCGGUCAUCGUCGUCCCCGAACAAUUCGCCGGUCUCCCUAGAUGAUCUUCGCCGGUUGUCUCUGGUGGCCGGCACCUUUACUUUGAAAAAAUUGGAGUGCUCAGAGCAGGCGCGACGCCUGGACAAUGGUGCAUGGAAUAAUGGAAUAGGAUCUCGGUUCUGUUCCGUUGGUUUUCUGAACACGAGAUAAUGAUUAAGAGGGACAGACGGGGCCAUUCGUACUCGGUGGUGAGGGGUGAAAUCCGUUGAUCCAUUGAAGACGAACGAAGGCGAAAGCAUUUGGCAAGAAUGUUUCCGUUAAUCAAGAACGAAAGUUGGGUGAUCGAAGGCGAUCAGAUACCGCCCUAGUCCCAACCAUAAACGAUGCCAACCAGCGAUCCGCCUGAGUUCCUCAAACGACUCGGCGGGCAGCUCCCGGGAAACCAGA